AACGAACGCUGGCGGCAUGCCUAACACAUGCAAGUCGAACGAUACCUUCGGGCCUAGUGGCGCACGUGUGCGUGACGCGUGGGAACCUGCGCUUAGGAUCUGAAUAACACCCCGAGAGGAGUCCUAAUACCGGAUUAUAUCUUCGGACCAAAGCUUUAACGGCUUUGGGUGGGCCCGCAUUGGUUUGGCUAGUUGGUAGGGUAAAAGCCCACCAAGGCGACUAUCCAUAUCUGGUCUGAGCGGAUGACCAGCCACAAUGGGACUGAGACACGGCCCAGACUCGUACGGAAGGGAGCAGUGGGGAACAUUAUGCGAUGAGCGAAAGCCUAACGCAGCAAUGUCGCGUGAGUCAUGAAGGCGUUAGUGUUGUAAAGCUCUUUUGCCAGGGAUGAUAAUGACGGUACCGGGAGAAUAAGCUCCGGCUAACUCCGUG
This 433-nucleotide ribosomal RNA is filed under the name uncultured bacterium. Its description in RNAcentral is "partial 16S ribosomal RNA". It matches the Rfam family "Bacterial small subunit ribosomal RNA", at positions 29 to 507 of the family's 1533-position model. The record is from RNAcentral.